UGGUGAUUAUGGUCUUCAUUGCGCCUGUUUGCAAAUUAGCUAGCAAGUUAGGUAGCGUUGGUCAAAUCUUGUUGCAAAUGCAAACAAAAUAAAUUUACCUUCAGUUUAAAACUGGCUGUACUUCCAAUUUAAUUAGUAGCGAAAGCGAAUAUCACGCUUAUACAGGAUGCUUUCUGGCUAUCAAAAAUAAAGCUGAUGACUAUACCACCUGCUGUCCACAACCGGAAGGGUUUCGGCGCGCUAUUUCUCCAGAACAAACAUACUAUUGGGAGAGAAGUCAUCUGCAGGCAUUGUUGAAGCAGCAUGAAGUGCAGCAGGUCCAUGUCCAGCUGGAAGAGGCUCAAGGACUGCUGAAGGUCAUGACGACAGAGGCAGAUGACCAGAUGAUGAGCGCAGAACUGGAAAAUGUCCUGCAUAUUGUCCCAAAUCACAGCUGCACUGUGGACACGCAACAGUAUUUGACUAACCAGAUCGAGCAGCUCAUAGGGGAGAAUCAGCAACUGAAAGUGGGGAAAUUUAGGGAAGAAUCUUUAUAGAACUUAGACUGUGACAACUAAUUCACAAUAUAGGAUACCUUAGCUAUUAGGUAGUUUCUGUUCAAAUUUGGGCAUUGUUGAUGCUGAAUGGCUGGAACAGGAAGAGCUAUGAAGAUAUAUUCCACAAAUAUGUCCUUUGAUCCAAGCUGAGUGUUUUAUAUUGCACUUCUUCUCGUAAGUGUUUCUUGCAUGUCAUCCGUACUCUAUACUGGUUGGUUUAACAGUCUGCAUUGAGACAGGCAGAGCUCAGACUCAGCAUAAUGGAAGGAGAGAAGGCCUGUCAGCAUGCUGUGCUCUCAGAAAAGAUCUGCAAUGUUGAUCAGCUUAGUUUAGAGAAACAGCAGAUGACCGCUGAGCUGGGAGUGCGGUGUAUGCAGCUUACCCAGCUGAAAGGUACAAACACAGAUUCAUCGAAAUCCCAAACCGCAUACCUGAUAUAAACUGACUUUAAAGUGUGUGUUGAACAAGUACAGUGUCCCUAAAAACUUGAACAUGUAAUUCUUGUGGUUACACUUUAUUUUAUAGUGUCCUUGUUACAGUGUAAUUAUACAUUUAAGUACUGAACAUCUAAGCACUUAUACAUCUAAGUACUUAAUUAGCUACAUGUACUUACUAUAUGGUUAGGGUUUGGCUUAGGGAAACUUGCAUGUAAUUAUGUAUAAUUAAUUGUUAUAAUAGUAAGUACAUGUAACAAGGACUCCUUAAAAUAAAGUGUUACCAUUCUUGCUUUUAUUGGAUUGUUAUUGUAUACAUUAUUUGGCAGAAACAAAAACUCAAAGCAAAUGUCAUCUGGGUCAGUGAUAUAUAACAUCCAUAGUAUCCACAAUUA
RNAcentral lists this long non-coding RNA (1365 nucleotides) under Sinocyclocheilus anshuiensis. RNAcentral's name for it is "lncRNA (ENSSANG00000008362.1)". The record is from RNAcentral. Lineage: Eukaryota; Metazoa; Chordata; Actinopteri; Cypriniformes; Cyprinidae.